This 377-nucleotide unclassified non-coding RNA is filed under the name Hevea brasiliensis (rubber tree). Lineage: Eukaryota; Viridiplantae; Streptophyta; Magnoliopsida; Malpighiales; Euphorbiaceae. The record is from RNAcentral.
AACAUUGCUAUUUUUCAUGAAUUCAUUCUUUUUAUAUUCUAUAAUACAUGAGUGGUGAUGCAUGUCAUCGCUUGUGUUCUUUGUAAUUUUCAUAGGGCUUAUUGUUGAUAAUUUGAUGCAAAUUUUUAGAUUUGCUAUAUAGGUAUUUGAGUCUAUUAUUGGGCAAAAACUAUUUUUCUUUGGUUGUAGGAAAUAGCAUUAUUUUUAGCUAUCUGCCUUCUUAUUCUGAGUAUCUUCUUCUGUGUCUUUAUAUUUCAGUGAUGUAAGCAAAACAUUUUUGUAAUGGUGAUUUUAGUAUAUUUCAGCUAUGUUUAUUAAACAUUUAUGUGAUGGUGAGUGUGAUUGAUGACCUGCUGAUGUUUUCCAGGAGGAUCGUA